Molecule: long non-coding RNA, 539 nt
Filed under: Panax ginseng (ginseng)
Lineage: Eukaryota; Viridiplantae; Streptophyta; Magnoliopsida; Apiales; Araliaceae
Description: long non-coding RNA (PGIN_LNC006129)
Source: RNAcentral
CAAUCCAUAUUUGGACAUGUUUAGCUCCCGGAAUUUAACCCGGAAGUGACUGCUCCAAAACUGUCUUUUUCACAGUUUUCUUAACUUUGUGUAGUUUGGUAAAAAUCCCAUAACUUGCUCCUCCGAUAUCGGAUUUAGUCCGUUUUGGAGUCUAUGGAAAGCUUAUUGAGUGUACUAUAACAUAUCACAAGUCCAGAAUUUUUAGAGCACCCUAACAAAUCCGAAAAUUUCUAUUUAGGGCAGCAGUCCACUAAUUCAUUUAAAACAAAAAAACUGUUUUGGUUCUUUUCUUUGUUCAAGCUUAUCAACCCUAAAAAUGGCAAGAUCUAACCAUAAAAUAUCAUAUAUCAUGUAGAUCUUCUCUCAUAUGAUUCAAAAUCAUAAGUUCAACACUUGAUCUAAAACACCAUAUCAAAACACUUUUUAAAAGUUUAACUUUUCCGGAACAUUUCCAUUUUUCUAUUCCUUUGAUUCCAACCAAAAUCAACACCCAAUAUUGUUAGAUCUAAACAUGAUACACUCAUCAACAUGUAUAUACA